GAGGUGUUUAAACACUUAGACCUGCUAACUCUGACUACUGAAAAUAAAAUCUUCAGACCUCUUA
This 64-nucleotide transfer RNA is filed under the name Australolacerta australis. RNAcentral's name for it is "tRNA-Ser". The record is from RNAcentral. Lineage: Eukaryota; Metazoa; Chordata; Lepidosauria; Squamata; Lacertidae.